Molecule: ribosomal RNA, 322 nt
Filed under: uncultured Sandona
Lineage: Eukaryota; Cercozoa; Glissomonadida
Also listed under: 1 other name
Description: SSU rRNA
Rfam family: Eukaryotic small subunit ribosomal RNA (bases 112-322)
Source: RNAcentral
GAUUUCUGGGCAUCAGUUUCUGGCCGGCCACGGUUUCGUGUGUUAGUGCUUGAAGCUUUGUCCAUCCUUCCAAUCGCUAGUUACUAUUCUUCAUUGAUUGGUAAUUAGUAUUGGAUCUUUUACUUUGAAAAAAUUAGAGUGUUUCAAGCAGGCUUUAUGCUAUGAAUACAUUAGCAUGGAAUAAUAAUUUAGGACUUCGGUUCUAUUUUGUUGGUUUCUAGGACUGAAGUAAUGAUUGAUAGGGAUAGUUGGGGGUGCUAGUAUUCAGCGGCCAGAGGUGAAAUUCUCGGAUUCGCUGAAGACUAACUUAUGCGAAAGCAUU